This 68-nucleotide transfer RNA is filed under the name Redunca arundinum (southern reedbuck). Its description in RNAcentral is "tRNA-Lys". Lineage: Eukaryota; Metazoa; Chordata; Mammalia; Artiodactyla; Bovidae. The record is from RNAcentral.
CAUCAAGAAGCUAUAAUAGCAUUAACCUUUUAAGUUAAAGACUGAGAGCAAUAAACUCUCCUUGGUGG